GCCAGGUGCAGCUGCGGGACGCACGGCUCAGUGUCAGGGUGUGGGCGCGCCCGGCCCGUAGCCCCCGCCCCGGAUGCCGCCCACGCCCACUCACCACGGGACGGAAGUCCAGGUCCCUCCUCAUGCAUGCAUCAGUCCUCAGCGGGGAGUAGGCCCGAGGACAAGGCACGCCCCGGGCCUUCCGGAGUCUCCAUGGCACUGCAAGUGCCACCAGAGGAGGCCAGGGGGCGUGAAGGUAAGUAAGGGGCGCCACAGCCUGCCCGGGCUCGGGAGGGCGUCUGGAGAGGAGACUUACCGUCCCUCGGGGCAGUGGCGUCCGCGCCUCCAGCUAGGAAAGAACCUAGCGUCACCCCAGGCACCUGGGACCUGCAGGCUCUGCUGCCGACCACUCUCCGCCUUCCCACCCUGGGCGUCAGUGCCACAACCCAAGCCCCGCCCACACUGAAACCCACCCUUCCCAGCUCUGCUCAAACCACGCCCCCUUCCAAAGCCCCGCCCCACGCUAAAACCCGCCCCUUUCCAGCUAGCAAAUCACGCCCCUUCCCAAAAGCCCCGCCCACACUGAAACCCGCCCCUUCCUAGCUCUGCCCCCACAAACCACGCCCCUCCUAGGCCCCGGGCCCGCCCACGCAAGACCCCACCCACCCAGUGGAGGGGCUGAGCUAGAACCUUCCUUUAUUUCUGUUUACUUCGUAAGGGUUGACUCCUGGCUCCGCACUCAGGGAUCACAUCUGGCGGUGCUCAGGGGGACCAUAUGAGAUGCCCAGGGAUGGAACCCAGGUCGGCCGCGUACGAGACAACUCACCAGGACCUUCCUGAAGCCACGCCGCACACGCACAUACAGCUCUUCCCGAUCAGCCACGUAGAGCAGCCAGCCCUCAGGCACCUCGGGUGCCGUGUCCAGCAUUGCCUGAGAGCCCGGCAAGCUACCAAGAGUAUGGAGCCCGCACAGCAGAGCCUGGCAAGCUACCCAUGCGUAUUGGAUAUGCCAAAAACAGUAACAAUGAGUCUCUCAAUGAGAGACGUUACUGGUGCCCGCUCAAACAAAUCGAUGAGCAACGGAGUGACAGUGACAGUGACACUUAGAAGUGUGUGAAGAUUGCUGUAUCUCACCCUGGAGCAAUAAACCCUUACAUAAGAGAUUACUAACCUGC
Molecule: long non-coding RNA, 1154 nt
Organism: Sorex araneus (European shrew)
Lineage: Eukaryota; Metazoa; Chordata; Mammalia; Eulipotyphla; Soricidae
Exons: 4
Source: RefSeq, a predicted model, not a curated record